This 382-nucleotide ribosomal RNA is filed under the name uncultured prokaryote. RNAcentral describes it as "partial 16S ribosomal RNA". The record is from RNAcentral.
CCCUACGGGGUGCAGCAGAGUGACGGAACAGGUUGAUGGAGCUAGGGCUCUGGCAAUGGACAUCAGCCUUUUGAGCAGAUAGGGCCGAAUCGCCGAUCACUCAAUCCAGGAGGAGAUUUGGGCCGGUCGGCCUCUCUUAUUAUGAUUUCAAUCAUAAUUCCUGGCAAAUUCCUCAUCUGACAUGGUGAAAAGGAUGAUAGCAUCAUAUAUGCUAAGAGUGAGUGUUAUGGCAAAUCCGAUUGCCGUCAGGCUAAUCAGGAUAUAUAUUAUUCCCAUCUUUAUGCUUCCAAGAUAGAACUUAUGCGCUCCAGCUAUCCCCAAAAACAGGGCAAGCAAUGCGGCAGUGAUUCUGCUUCGUCCCUCAUUGGCCGGGCGGGGGAGC